CCCGCACAAGCGGAGGAACAUGUGGUUUAAUUCGAUGAUACGCGAGGAACCUUACCUGGGCUUAAAUGGGGAGUGACAGCUGUCGAAAGAUGGUUUUCUUCGGACACUCUUCAAGGUGCUGCAUGGUUGUCGUCAGCUCGUGCCGUGAGGUGUCGGGUUAAGUCCCAUAACGAGCGCAACCCUUACCGUUAGUUACCAUCAGGUUAAGCUGGGGACUCUAGCGGGACUGCCACCGUAAGGUGAGAGGAAGUGGGGAUGACGUCAAAUCAGCACGGCCCUUAUGUCCAGGGCUACACACGUGUUACAAUGGCCAGUACAAAGGGCAGCUACCGGGUGACCGGAUGCUAAUCUCUAAAGCUGGUCUCAGUUCGGAUCGAAGUCUGCAACCCGACUUCGUGAAGCUGGAUUCGCUAGUAAUCGCGCAUCAGCCAUGGCGCGGUGAAUACGUUCCCGGGCCUU
Molecule: ribosomal RNA, 459 nt
Filed under: uncultured Sphingobacteriales bacterium
Lineage: Bacteria; Pseudomonadati; Bacteroidota; Sphingobacteriia; Sphingobacteriales
Description: bacterial SSU rRNA
Rfam family: Bacterial small subunit ribosomal RNA
Source: RNAcentral